GUGGGGAAUCUUAGACAAUGGGGGCAACCCUGAUCUAGCCAUGCCGCGUGAGUGAUGAAGGCCUUAGGGUCGUAAAGCUCUUUCGCUGGGGAAGAUAAUGACGGUACCCAGUAAAGAAACCCCGACUAACUCCGUGCCAGCAGCCGCGGUAAUACGGAGGGGGUUAGCGUUGUUCGGAAUUACUGGGCGUAAAGCGCGCGUAGGCGGAUUGGAAAGUUGGGGGUGAAAUCCCGGGGCUCAACCCUGGAAUGGCCUUCAAAACUCCCAGUCUUGAGGUCGAGAGAGGUGAGUGGAAUUCCGAGUGUAGAGGUGAAAUUCGUAGAUAUUCGGAGGAACACCAGUGGCGAAGGCGGCUCACUGGCUCGAUACUGACGCUGAGGUGCGAAAGCGUGGGGAGCAAACAGGAUUAGAAACCCUUGUAGUCC
RNAcentral lists this ribosomal RNA (425 nucleotides) under uncultured bacterium. Its description in RNAcentral is "partial 16S ribosomal RNA". It matches the Rfam family "Bacterial small subunit ribosomal RNA", at positions 354 to 796 of the family's 1533-position model. The record is from RNAcentral.